This 460-nucleotide ribosomal RNA is filed under the name uncultured bacterium. RNAcentral's name for it is "partial 16S ribosomal RNA". It matches the Rfam family "Bacterial small subunit ribosomal RNA", at positions 338 to 795 of the family's 1533-position model. The record is from RNAcentral.
CCUACGGGAGGCAGCAGUGAGGAAUAUUGGUCAAUGGCCGGAAGGCUGAACCAGCCAAGUCGCGUGAGGGACUAAGGCCCUAUGGGUCGUAAACCUCUUUUGUCAGGGAGCAAAGGCGUCCACGUGUGGACGAGAGGAGAGUACCUGAAGAAAAAGCAUGGGCUAACUCCGCGCCAGCAGACGCGGUAAUACGGAUGACGCGAGUGUUAUCCGGAUUUAGUGGGUUUAAGGGGUGCGUAGGCGGAGUGAAAAGACAGCGGUAAAAGUUCGGGGCUCAGCCCCGUCGUGCCGUUGAAACUGACGCCCUUGAGUGAGUGAGAAGUAAGCGGAAUGCGUGGUGUAGCGGUGAAAUGCAUAGAUAUCACGCAGAACGCCGAUUGCGAAGGCAGCUUACCGGCGCUCAACUGACGCUGAGGCACGAAAGUGCGGGUAUCGAACAGGAUUAGAUACCCGAGUAGUC